This is a long non-coding RNA of Carassius gibelio (silver crucian carp), 1767 nucleotides long. RefSeq lists it as uncharacterized. The record is from RefSeq and is a predicted model, not a curated record. The transcript is spliced from 2 exons. NCBI's taxonomy places the organism in Eukaryota, Metazoa, Chordata, Actinopteri, Cypriniformes, Cyprinidae.
CCAACCCAUGUGUGUCCCAGCUGAGUCUGUCCACCAAACCACACCGGCAGCCAUUAGCAAGCCUGCGGACGCUUGACCUGUCUGCUUUUAGCCGUUUCCAUCACCGUUUUCCCUGGUUUACAUUUUGGAGUAGACGUCCAAAAGGAGUCAGUCUUGAACGUCCAGCCUUGACAAAGUCCAUUUGAAACUGUUAAGCAACAUUGCUGCCAAAGUAAGCCGACAUGUUUUGAAAUCAUCAACAUCAGUGACGCUCCCAGUUGGAUCCCCAAUGUGUGAAAAGUCAAAAUAUUGCCCCCCCCAAUUUACAGCACUCAAGUGUUUCCCAAACAGGGUAGUAUGUUUCUCCUCUUCUAGCCGCAGGAUAUUUAUAGCCGCGUCUUAUGUUAACUCUGCUGCCAUGCUUAUCUCUCUGUGUGUGUGUGUGUGUGUGUCCUGCCACUCUUUCUGAUUGUAGCUUAACCCUCUCAGUGACAGUGAGACUGUCUACCUUACAUUACUCUCAUUGGAUAUAUUCUUCCACUCCAUCGAGGAACCAUCACAAGGUCCACAGUGUCACUGUUUCCAUGUUUUGCUUCACACUUUGUGUCCUCGCUCACAUCACACCUGGCUGAGAUCUCCGUUCCCGACCUCGUCCCGUCAUGGCGCUCUCCUCACGCUUCGAUCUCUGUGAACAGAAGAGAGUUCAGCUCAACUAACCCGACUGUGGCCUAACCAGCACCAGUUCAACCUUUUGAGAUGAUUGUAAUCCAGACUCGGCCUCACACAGACCACACACUCACAUUAACUUGAAUGGGAAACUCAAAAGACUGCCUAUGUCUCGAAGUUCCUGUAAAGUCAUUCAGUUCACAUUGAAAGUGCCUUCUGGCAGCUAUUUUCAGUCUAGGUAUUAGACAUAAAAUGUACAGUUUCCGUGAUCAAGGGAAGACUGAAAUAUGUGCUUGUCAGUAUUACAUUUUAACUACAUUGUCAAAUCUAAUAGUAUCAUGAAUUGUAUCAAUAUCACAUAGUAUGACAAAAGUUUUGCUUAUUAGCCUCAAAUCACAUUAAAAAACUUUUUUACAUUGUAACAUAUGUAUUUAUUACUUGUUAAGUCUAAAGUACUUUAAUAUUUCAUAUCACAGUUUUAAGCAGGCUUUAAUUCUCACAGUGUGACCCGUGUUGCUGCUCAGGGUCUCUCUGUGGUGGUCCACUGCCUGCUACACAUUAGGAUGACAGUGAAGUUACUCUGAAGGGUUUUAACUCUUCUUGAAUCUGUUAUUAGCUCUUUAUUAUUCUAAACUAACCCUAGUAAACUACUUUUCCUAUUGUUCUCUAUACAACUAUACAACAGCAUACAGUCUUUCUAGGCAGUUGAAGUUAGCUGGUGUUGCUGCAUGAAGUGUAGUUAUUGUAGACCGAAUACUGAAGGACAUCUGCUGCCCUCGGCUCACACACGUUUAAUAUCACUGCUUGUGCUGCUAAUAGAGCAGCAAGGGCAUCAGUGGAACCUUUCAGUGCGUAUAUGGGACGCUUACUAAAAAUAUUGUGUCUUUAGUUGUCACCUUCAUGAAAAUUAAUCAUGGUUUUACUAUGGUUCGACUAUCUGUAGUAAUCUUAGCAGUGUAUGUAGCUUCUUAGCAUAAUGAGCUAACAAAUGAAAUAUCAGGCUUUAGUAAGUUAUCAUGCUGGAUGAGAGAAGUUAUUUUCCCCCCCAAAAAAGUAUUGAAUUGCCAUGUUUGUUUGUGCAUGUUUAUUAAUAUUAAAACAUGAAGAAUUUUCUUAUGAAAA